AUAUCAGUAUCAGACUUUAGUUUAGGGGGUCUCCCUCUGCCUCGAGGCUUAGAUGAUGGCUGUUGCUCAUCUUGAUGCUGAGGAUCUUUGUUCAAAGGUGCUUUUGGUUUAGGAGAUCUUUCCAUGCUAGAAAGGUCAAGCUGCUGCUCUGGAUCUUUGUGCCAUUCAAGAAAAGCAGGUGAUUCAACAGAAUGUAACUUGGCUUCCAUUUGUUGAUUAGAGAGAAUCAUAUCAGUAUCAGACUUUAGUUUUCGGGGUCUCCCUCUGCCUCGAGGCUUAGAUGAUGGCUGUUGCUCAUCUUGAUGCUGAGGAUCUUUGUUCACAGGUGCUUUUGGUUUAGGAGAUCUUUCCAUGCUAGAAAGGUCAAGCUGCUGCUCUGGAUCUUUGUGCCAUUCAAGAAAAGCAGGUGAUUCAACAUAAUGUAACUUGGCUUCCAUUUGUUGAUUAGAGAUAAUCAUAUCAGUAUCAGACUUUAGUUUACGGGGUCUCCCUCUGCCUCGAGGCUUAGAUGAUGGCUGUUGCUCAGGAUCUUUGUUCACAGGUGCUUUUGGUUUAGGAGAUCUUUCCAUGCUAGAAAGGUCAAGCUGCUGCUCUGGAUCUUUGUGCCAUUCAAGAAAAGCAGGUGAUUCAACAGAAUGUAAUUUGGCUUUCAUUUGUUGAUUAGAGAGAAUCAUAUCAGUACUAGACUUUAGUUUACGGGGUCUUCCUCUGCCUCGAGGCUUAGAUGAUGGCUGUUGCUCAUCUUGAUGCUGAGGAUCUUUGUUCACAGGUGCUUUUGGUUUAGGAGAUCUUUCCAUGCUAGAAAGGUCAAGCUGCUGCUCUGAAUCUUUGUGCCAUUCAAGAAAAGAAGGUGAUUCAACAGAAUGUAAUUUGGCUUCCAUUUGUUGAUUAGAGAGAAUCUGUGGGUGAGGAUGCUGCUCUGACAAUAGAUCACAAAUAAGUUCCUUCUGUUCACAAGGGCUUGUAAUAUUCAGUUGCUUUUCCUCUUCCACCACACCCAAGUUAUGGGUAACAAUGGCUUGAACAUCGUCUUGCUUGUUAAAUCCCACCUGGACGCCUCUGUUUUCUCAACAAAAGUGGACACAUUUAAGCUGUAUCACUAGUAUAGUAUCGUAACAUCAAUAUUUAAAAAAAAAAAAAUCAAAAAACCAAGUCAGUUUGAUUUCCUUCUCCUCAGACUUUCCCAUUUUCACUACAUGGUUACACCCUGGCUUUCUUCUGAUGAUAAUUGAGUAACAUACAUACACAUAAGAUCAGUAAAUGUGAGAAGGGCUGUUUACCUCUCCAAUGUGGUCAUCUGAUCCUUUUGCCGCUUCAGUUCCAUAGCUUGGAGAGUAUCCUGACACCAUGGCUAUCAUUUAUAAUUUAUUCAUAUCUAAGAAAACAACCAUGCAAAAUUGAUUGUUUAUACAUCUUCCAACACAAGAUGGACCCUAGAUUCUGCAGUAACUUGCUGUUUAUGUGCACUAAUGCAAAAAUGGAACAAGGAAAAACAUGUUUGAAUCUAUUUGCUAUCAAGUGCAUUAAAAUCUUAUGCUCAUAUCCUCCUUCCAUCCCAUGCAAGCUUACUAUUCUUUUUUCUUUUCCUUUUUUGGUUCAAGAAAGAAUAAAGGAGAAGGGAAAAAAAAAAUUGACUACAUGCAACAUAGCACCAAAAAGAAAGAAAGAAAAAAGCUGAUAUAGCUUGACUAAAAUAUUUGAUGGCAAGCAAGUAUAUAACAAACGUGGUAAUAUAUAAUUAUAUAUAGUUCAUAAUAUAUUUAUCUAAAAUUCUUUAUAAUUUACUACUACAAAAUUAAAUAAAAAAAUACAUAAAAUAAAUAGUCACAUAGGUUUUAUUUAAAGUAAUGCUCUUCGUUGUAUUAGAGACUUGAAGUCUUGAUAAUUAAAUUAGAACUAAAAUUUUUAGCAAUUUCCAGCCACCUUACUGUCUGCAAGAAAUUCAACUUCCAUUUUAUUGCCUAAUCUAGUUUUGAAAUGAUCCACCAGUUGUGUCCGUAAAAAUUGGAAAUCCAUAAGAUGGUGGCAUCAAAAGUUGAGGAUUAACACUUUUUUAUUAAUAAACUAUGCAAUAAUGAUGCUCACCUCUAAUACUUCAAUUUGUUGCUUUUCUGCUUGACCUUGUUUCUUCUUCCUCUUCGUCACUCUGACUUUUUUCCUGCCUUGCCCACCUCUGCGGCCCUCCUUUUUCCUACUUGAACCUGUCACCUCCUUUAACUCGCAAUCUUCUUCAACUAAAAGUAUAUAUCGUUCAUUAUUUACACAUGCUAACUCCAUAUUCCCACAAAGCUUCCCCAAAUGAUGACUCAAAAAACUCUCAUGGCCCCAUGGCAAAUGCUCAUACUCUCUUUUAAUAAAUGCUGAUAUUUCCUCCUUGGUGGACCCCUCUUCAUUAUUCAACUCUGAAAUUGCCCUUUGGAUCAUCUUUAGAAUGGAAAAAUAAAAAACAGAAAGCCAAUUGAGAACAUUUAACAAACACAAAGAUGAUAUCUAACAUACAGAAACACAAUAACUCCGAAAUGACUUUUAAGGCAAAUAGAAAGCAAUUUUCACUUUUAGGCUUAAAAAUUAAGCAGCGGCCGAAAUACUAUCCAAAAUGAGCUUCUUCAUCGAUUUGCUCAUCAGAAUAUCGAAAGACAAGCAAGAUAUGUACUUCAAACAGCAACGCAUUUAAUCAAAAGAAAGCGAAACAAUACAAGAUGCUGGUUACUCACAGAAGAAUAAGGUGGGUGAGACGGAGUGUCGAAACUGGGGAAGAAUUCAUGCAGCCGUCGUUCAAUGUGGGUCUUGAGUUGAGGCGCAAUGUUUCCCGACGGGCUUAUUUUGGAAAACACACGAGCUUUCAGAUUGUUCAUUAUAGGCUCGUAUCUAUCAUCUUCGUAUCUAUCAUCUGUAAGAAGAUUGUUGGGAUUUUGAGAGGAGCAGGGGACAGCGUUAGGUUCUUCCAUCUUUGGAUUUUGAGUAUGAUUUUCUCUGGUGAAACUGAUUGCUAUUGUGGAAAACCCGCUAGCAGUGGCCGCUGAGACGCCCGAGCCUAACCUUAAACUUUAUGAGUUGUGACGGUUUCGUUAGGGUGGGGUCUCUUCAUAAUCCUCUUAUGUGCUAUUCCUACUUUGUCAACAAUUCAUAUAAUCGGGUCCUGGCGAGGAGGGACGUAACCGUUAGUUUUGUUCCCAAAAUUAAACUAUUUAAAUUUGAAUUCAAUUUAUAUCAGUAUAUUUGAAUUUGUCUCAAUCUUAUUAAAAAUUAGUUUAAAAUAUUUAAAUUCAUUCUAAAAUUUUAAAUUAUUAUUAUUUAAAUAAAAUUUAAAUUUAUUUAAAUUUAUAUAUUUUAAUUAAUAAUUUAUAUAAAAAAUAUUUUUCAUUAAUAAUUUUUAUUUAAAAAUUUAAUAUCUUUAACAAAUAUUUAAAUUUAAAUUUUUAAAUGAAAAAAUAUAAAAAAUUAUAAAUAUUAUUAUAAAAUAUAUUUUUUACAUUAAAUUAAUUAUUUAUAUAAAUAAAUUCAAAUAUGAGUUAUACAUAAAAUUUAAAUUCGAUCCGAAUUCAUAAUAAUUAUUAUUUUUUUAAAUCCAAACUUAUAUCGAACUUAAUUAUAAUCGUUAAAAUUCAUUCUAUUAAAAUUUCGAUCUGUUAUCCGGGAAUAAUGUACUAAGCACCCAAUUUAAUAUGUUAAAUAAAUAUUUAUUUUUAUAUUUAAACCAGAGAAAUUAUAUUAUAUGACAGUGAUAUUUAUUUAUAUAUAAUCAUAUAUUUAUAAUAAUUAAUAUUUUAUUUAAAUAUGUUACAUUUUAUUUAAUCUUUUUAAUUUAAAAGAAAAGAAAAAAUAUAUUAAUUAACAGUAAACAUAUAAUUAAAUAAUAUUAGUAAAAUAAAAAUAAAAAUUUCUCUAAUUAUUAUUAUUAUAAAUUUAAUAUUAUCAAUUUAUUUCACCAAUAUAAUUAUAUUAGUUAUUCACUUAAAAUUUUAUUUCUCUAAUUUUCUAGAAAGAGUCCUUUUUUAUGAGAAUUUCUUUUUCAAUUUCCUUAUCACUUUCGUAUAGUACUAUUAUUCCUAAAUAAAGCAGAAUUUUUAAUGCUCCACGUAUCUUGAAAUUUUCCUAAAAAAUAUUUUAAUUAAAUUUAUUAUUUUAUGUAAUCUAAUUAAAUAGAAUUUAUGUGGUUUUGCAAGUGAAUAUUAGUUUAUAUUUAUUAUAUAUAUAUAUAUAGAUAGUUAACUUCAUAUUAUUAUUUAAUUUAUGAAAUUUUUUUUAAAUGAGAUUAGAAAUUGAAAGAAUAAAACCCGAGAUCUCUCAAAUUUAAUCGAAUAUACUUACUAUAGGGCUAAUCUGUGCUAUGAAAAAUUAUUAUAUGUUUAUACCAUGACAUAAUUUUUUUUUUGGAAAGAUAUUUGAAGAGGAGGAUGAUUUCCGUAUAUAUUUUGUAGAGGAUUAUGUUAGAAGGCUGAAUUUAUUAAAAAAACAAAUAUGAAAAAUUAUUUAUAAGAAGUACUAAUAAUAAAAGCACAAAAAGAGAAAACUAUAAUUCGUUAAAUUAUAUAUAAAAAUUUUAAUACAAUUUUUAAAAUAUAAAAAAUCACUCAUUUAAAAAAUAAAUCAUUUUUCUUAAAAUAAUUUAAGUUUUUAUUUACUUAUUAAAAUAUUUUAUCAAUUAAUUUUUGUCCAAAAUAUUUUUUGAAACACAAAUUAAGCCUUAAUUGCUUUUUAAACUAACAACGUUCAUUGCUCAAGAAAAGAAAAGAGCAUCCAAAAUAUCUAACCUUUUUAGAUGUUAAGGCCUGAAGGUUCUCACAACUUCCUCAUAGGCUGGCCUCUUGUAGUCCACUGCCUGCAAUCAAUUACAUAGACCAUCUUGAGCUUUUUGACGCACCAUACCUGCUCAACAACUUCUUCAGGGCUCGCCCACUUCCAUUCUGCAAAUUCUGGAUCUCCUUCACUAUUUGCCAGUUUAAUCUCACUCUCAUCUUUUGUCAAUCUCAUGAGGAACCUGUCAAUUGCGCAGAGAACUCAUUUUCACCCCUCAAAUUAUAUGCUGGAAGUGACAGUAUAUAAUAAAUCAUAUUUUCCUUUUUAUUUCCAUUUUCUUCCCUUUCUAAAACAGAAAAACUGAUUUUUCUGCAACAAAUUAUUGGUGUGCUAGUUGCAUUUGUGCUAAUUUAAUGUUGGCCAAACACUAUAUAAACGGAUGAAGCAAUUAGUUUAGAGCUAAAAGGCUGCAGAGGGAACCACUGUGAAUCCCGAAUUGGAUUAGACUUUAAACAUACCAGAAGAAAUCCUCAAAUAUUAAUAUGUUACAUGUCACUUGGACAUCCGUCUUCUUGGGAUUACUUACAUAAUUCCAUGCAAAAUCAACUGUUAGCUCAAUUGGCCUGCUUGCCUAGUGGAAGUGGAUUUGUUAGCAUAUAUGCUCUACACGGCUUUUAAUAGAUUGAUAGCUCAUUUUGCCUAGUUUCUUGACUCAGUUAAUGGACUUGAUUAAACUUCAAACCACUGACCCAUAAUCAUAAAUUUAUCUAUUUCCUUCGCUAUCAACUGAAUUCAACAGCUAGUUCUACCAUAAUUUGGUCUGCAGCAAAAUUCUGGUGGCGUUAAAAAGAAAAAUUCCAUUUAAUAGUGUAAUCAGCCAGUCCCAGGUGGUUAAGCACACACAGGUGUGCAUAUCUGUCAUAUUUAUGUGCACCUUCUAGUAGUAUUCUAAGGGGUCAGAUUAGGAUCACAAGAGUGGGAUGAAAAGAAUAACACUGAAGGCAGAUCUUAAGUCUUUAAGACCAAUGUUGCAUUCAAGGCUAUGGAGUAGAUGGUCAGUUGGUCACAUUGCAUAAUAUACAUGUAAUUAAACUAUGUUAAAAAAAAUGUGAAAUACUUUCAUGGAAUCAAUAUAUGCUUGUAGUGUACGUGUGUGUGGCAGAGACGCACCACUUCUGUGCCUGCCCAUGCCAUUCACCUCCCUACAAACGAUUCACUUUGGCCUUCACAGCAGGUGGAAAGUCACAAGUCAACCAACUUGGUACCUGUCAUGCACAGCCAAUGGAAUACCAAAUGAACACUGCCAAUCCAAUGUUAGAUCUUAUAAGACUUAAAUUACUCAAGGAAUUGUUAUAUUUCCAGCACUCUCAUCAAUCAUCAUUCAUUCCUUAGGAAGAAUCAUUUUUGGACCUCAGCAAUAAUUUCAGCAGACACUAUCCCAGUUUCUUCUCGUAAUUCCCUGAUGGCUGCAGAUCUAGGCUCCUCAUUGACUUCAAUACCCCCCUAAGAAGCAAUCACAAAUAUGGACUAGCUUAGGUCUAAUGAACUCUUCUUUGAUAGAACGAGAGCUUGAUGUAAGAAAUAACCUUAGCUUCAAUUUCUAUGAUAAAUGAUAUAUGAACUCAUCGUCCAAAAUUUAAAUGGAAAGGUGGUCUAAUGAAUCCCAAUGACAGAUUUUUUUUUUUAUUGAAUGACUCAAAGAGUUAAAGCAAACCCACUUAUGGAUCAGAAAUCCAAAAGUUCACCAUUAUAACUAAGUUCUGUACCCAUAAUUUCUAUAAAUUCACAUGAAAUAGAACAAAAGCAUAGAAGAAGAAGAAAAAUAUCUAUUAUCACUUCAACUAAACUCCAUGAGGCCACAAUGGUCACAACAUGACUUGGGAUCCUAUGAAAAUAAAGAUGGUGCAGAAUACAUCUAUGGAAGAUCAUAUGGAAAGACUUCCAAGAUACUUGAUUCCCAUAAUCUGUCUAUGUGAGAUGUGUUUCACAGGAAAGUGCGCUAUUUCAUUAACAAAAAGGGUUUUCUUCGCUAAGGGAGGAAGGCCUUGAAUCGAGAACAACUAAGAGAGUUAGGAAUUAAAACAAAUGAACAGUUUGAUCUGUCAGACAAAUCAUCGAGAUGCAUGCCAUAGGUAUUGUUCAAUAGAGGAAGCAUAUAUGCAUAAUCCACUGUGCAACAAUGGUGGAGGACUAAGUUAACCUUAACAUAAAUGGUUAUGAAUUGAAUUAUCUUUCUGCAUUUCUAAGCAAUUAAAUUUUGGAACAAGUUCAACGAAGAAAAAUAAUAUACAAUACGGCACUACCUGAGGCAUCUGCCAUACUCCUGGAACAUUUAAUCUAGAAGCCACAAAAAUCUGCAAGUAUAUUAUGGACUGUUAUCAUUUUUCUUUCAUAGAAUGUGCAAAACCUAAAUGAAUAAAAAAGAAUAAGGCUUAUAAGGCUUAAAUUACUCAAGGAAUACCAAAUGAACACUGCCAAUCCAAUGUUAGAUUUUAUAAGCCUUAAAUUACUCAGGAAUUGUUAUAUUUCCAGCACUCUCAUCAAUCAUCAUUCAUUCCUUAGGAAGAAUCAUUUUUGGACCUCAGCAAUAAUUUCAGCAGACACUAUCCCAGUUUCUUCUCGUAAUUCCCUGAUGGCUGCAGAUCUACCCUACUCAUUGUCUUCAAUACCCCCCUAAGAAGCAAUCACAAAUAUGGACUAGCUUAGGUCUAAUGAACUCUUCUUUGAUAGAACGAGAGCUUGUUGUAAGAAAUAACCUUAGCUUCAAUUUCUAUGAUAAAUGAUAUAUGAACUCAUUGUCCAAAAUCUAAAUGGGAAAGGUGGUCUAAUGAAUCCCAUGACAGUUUUUUUUUUUAUCGAAUGACUCAGAGUUAAAGCAAACCCACUUAUGGAUCAGAAAUCCAAAAGCUCACCAUUAUAACUAAGUUCUAUACCCAUAAUUUCUAUAAAUUCACAUGAAAUAGAACAAAAGCUAAUUUUAAAAUUGAAUAGUCCAUAACUGCCAUCUUAGGUGCAUGAUUCUAGACAUUAAUAGCAGUCUGUUUUCCUUUUAGGAGGCCUGCCUCUUCUUUUACUCUGCUGUUGCUGCUGCUCAUUGUAAUCCUGAUCACUGGAUGGUAACAAACUAUUCCUAAUCAUAUCAGUAUAAGACUUUAGUUUACGGGGUCUCCCUCUGCCUCGAGGCUUAGAUGAUGGCUGUUGCUCAUCCUGAUGAUGCUGAGGAUCUUUGUUCACAGGUGCUUUUGGUUUAGGAGAUCUUUCCAUGUUAGAAAGGUCAAGCUGCUGCUCUGGACCUUUGUGCCAUUCAAGAAAAGCAGGUGAUUCAACAGAAUGUAAUUUGGCUUCCAUUUGUUCAUUAGAGAGAAUCCGUGGUUGAGGAUGCUGCUCUGACAAUAGAUCACAAAUAAGUUCCUUCU
This 8156-nucleotide long non-coding RNA is filed under the name Manihot esculenta (cassava). RNAcentral describes it as "long non-coding RNA (MESC_LNC010408)". The record is from RNAcentral. Lineage: Eukaryota; Viridiplantae; Streptophyta; Magnoliopsida; Malpighiales; Euphorbiaceae.